UUUGCACAUUCGGAUGCUGGAGGGAGUGACUUCAACCAGUUCAUCUUCUUGGAUGUACUCGAUGCAGUCAUCUAAACUAUAAUCCAAUGGGGUAUCCAAAACCACUGCAAAAGGCAAAUUUAUGGAGUUGGCAGUUGAGGAGCAUUCUAAGGGACCGAAGAAACUAAAGAAGAAGUAAAACUCAAAGCAGAACACUGAGAGAAAAGAAAAUUUAAGGUGACCGAGUUGUCCUUACCUGUUUGUUCUUUGUUGGAGCGUACAUUUGUUGCAGCUUUUUUCUUGCACACGUUAAGGGCUAAGUCCCCAGGGCGUUGAUGAAUUCCAACAAUUUGACUCUUGUAAACAUCUACGCCAGGACUGACAAACAUUUGCCCUCUCUCCUGUGAACUAGCAAGGGCAUAAGAAGAAGUUGUGC
Long non-coding RNA from Cucumis sativus (cucumber), 415 nucleotides. RefSeq lists it as uncharacterized. Lineage: Eukaryota; Viridiplantae; Streptophyta; Magnoliopsida; Cucurbitales; Cucurbitaceae. The record is from RefSeq and is a predicted model, not a curated record. The transcript has 2 exons.